UACAGAGGCCCCGAGCGUUAUCCGGAAUUAUUGGGCGUAAAGGGUGUGUAGGCGGUCUUGUUAGUCUUUUGUUAAAGCCUUGGGCUCAACUCAAGAGAUGCAAAGGAAACGGCAAGACUAGAGAGUGCGAGAGGUAUAUGGAACUCAUGGAGUAGGGGUGAAAUCCGUUGAUAUCAUGGGGAACACCAAAAGCGAAGGCAAUAUACUGGCGCAUUUCUGACGCUGAGACACGAAAGCGUGGGUAGCGAACGGG
This 253-nucleotide unclassified non-coding RNA is filed under the name uncultured Parcubacteria group bacterium. Its description in RNAcentral is "contains 16S-23S intergenic spacer region". It matches the Rfam family "Bacterial small subunit ribosomal RNA", at positions 524 to 776 of the family's 1533-position model. The record is from RNAcentral.